AUUAAGUCCUAUGUCUAGUUUAGGUACCGGAUUAGGCUUGGUGUGUAUUUGGUUAGUGUAGGCCUGACGUUGGCCUGUAUGUGUUUGAAGGAUUGCUUGUGAAGGGUGGUGGAUAUUAAAGUUAUGCUGUAUCAUUGGUUGGCCGAUCAUGUUCUUGUUUGAUUGUUGGUCGACCGGCUCAUGAUACUUGUAUAGUCAAAGUAUCUAACACUACAUGAGUACUGAACUCAAGCGUAUAUAUGGUUAACUAGGGAUUGGUUGUUGACUUGUUUUAAUGCAGGUUCCCGUUACUUGAAGCUAAAUCAUGGUAGGAGGCCAAGUCUAACUUAGUAACGGUUUGCUUAGCCUUAGCUUAUAUUGCAUGCUAGGGUUAUAUUGAUUGUUAUUUUGGGUUGUCUGGGUUAGAGUCUAGUUUGCGGGUAGAGGCCGCCAGCUCACUGAGUAAUACUAGAUUACUCAUCCAACUCCGUUGUCCUUUUUGCAGGUCGCUUUAGGUAAGGAUGAUCGGAUAGCUUGGUGCUGGACGUUAGGACCGCCGGUGUAGAUUUUCAUGCCUUUUGUAAACGGUAUUGUGAAUUGUGUUAUGUUGACUCGAUUUUGCAUUAGGCCGGGCCUAGUCUUGAAUUAUUCAAUGUAUGAAUAUUUCUUAAAUCAAUAAAAGCAAUUGUCUUAUAUGCGCUUCAUGAGUACUCUGAUAUUUGACUAGUCCGGUCUAACACAACGUUUGGUCGUGGUACGGGUUGAAAAGCCUUAGGCUUCGAUCUAACGGAAAACACUAACUUUAGGUACAGGUUGCAAAGCCUUGUGCCUUGACGCAGCGGGACGUGUUAGUGGACGAACUGGUCGAGGUCGUGGAAUAAAUUUUGUGACUCUGGCCGGAUCGUCCCUAACCCGUCACAUAGCGCUUCCGGACCAUGGUGUUGGGUUGGACGGUCAGUCAUGUUCUU
RNAcentral lists this long non-coding RNA (947 nucleotides) under Brassica napus (rape). RNAcentral describes it as "long non-coding RNA (BNAP_LNC010785)". Lineage: Eukaryota; Viridiplantae; Streptophyta; Magnoliopsida; Brassicales; Brassicaceae. The record is from RNAcentral.